UGACUGCGUACCUUUUGUAUAAUGGGUCAGCGACUUAUAUUCUGUAGCAAGGUUAACCGUAUAGGGGAGCCGGAGGGAAACCGAGUCUUAAUUGGGCGUUAAGUUGCAGGGUAUAGACCCGAAACCCGGUGAUCUAGCCAUGGGCAGGUUGAAGGUUGGGUAACACUAACUGGAGGACCGAACCGACUAAUGUUGAAAAAUUAGCGGAUGACCUGUGGCUGGGGGUGAAAGGCCAAUCAAACCGGGAGAUAGCUGGUUCUCCCCGAAAGCUAUUUAGGUAGCGCCUCGUGAAUUCAUCUCCGGGGGUAGAGCACUGUUUCGGCUAGGGGGCCAUCCCGGCUUACCAACCCGAUGCAAACUGCGAAUACCGGAGAAUGUUAUCACGGGAGACACACGGCGGGUGCUAACGUCCGUCGUGAAGAGGGAAACAACCCAGACCGCCAGCUAAGGUCCCAAAGUCAUGGUUAAGUGGGAAACGAUGUGGGAAGGCCCAGACAGCCAGGAUGUUGGCUUAGAAGCAGCCAUCAUUUAAAGAAAGCGUAAUAGCUCACUGGUCGAGUCGGCCUGCGCGGAAGAUGUAACGGGGCUAAACCAUGCACCGAAGCUGCGGCAGCGAACGUAUCACCCAAGACAACUUUACGGAGUUGACGAUUGACGGAGCGAAGCGACGUCAAAGCGUUCAUUAAAGUCGAGUUGGCUUAGGGAUACGUUCGUUGGGUAGGGGAGCGUUCUGUAAGCCUGUGAAGGUGUGUCGUGAGGCAUGCUGGAGGUAUCAGAAGUGCGAAUGCUGACAUAAGUAACGAUAAAGCGGGUGAAAAGCCCGCUCGCCGGAAGACCAAGGGUUCCUGUCCAACGUUAAUCGGGGCAGGGUGAGUCGACCCCUAAGGCGAGGCCGAAAGGCGUAGUCGAUGGGAAACGGGUUAAUAUUCCCGUACUUGGUGUUACUGCGAAGGGGGGACGGAGAAGGCUAUGUUGGCCGGGCGACGGUUGUCCCGGUUUAAGCGUGUAGGUGUGUGUUCCAGGUAAAUCCGGUUCACUUUAACACUGAGGCGUGACGACGAGGCACUACGGUGCUGAAGCAACAAAUGCCCUGCUUCCAGGAAAAGCCUCUAAGCAUCAGGUAACAUCAAAUCGUACCCCAAACCGACACAGGUGGUCAGGUAGAGAAUACCAAGGCGCUUGAGAGAACUCGGGUGAAGGAACUAGGCAAAAUGGUGCCGUAACUUCGGGAGAAGGCACGCUGACACGUAGGUGAAGUGAUUUACUCAUGGAGCUGAAGUCAGUCGAAGAUACCAGCUGGCUGCAACUGUUUAUUAAAAACACAGCACUGUGCAAACACGAAAGUGGACGUAUACGGUGUGACGCCUGCCCGGUGCCGGAAGGUUAAUUGAUGGGGUCAGCGCAAGCGAAGCUCCUGAUCGAAGCCCCGGUAAACGGCGGCCGUAACUAUAACGGUCCUAAGGUAGCGAAAUUCCUUGUCGGGUAAGUUCCGACCUGCACGAAUGGCGUAAUGAUGGCCAGGCUGUCUCCACCCGAGACUCAGUGAAAUUGAACUCGCUGUGAAGAUGCAGUGUACCCGCGGCAAGACGGAAAGACCCCGUGAACCUUUACUAUAGCUUGACACUGAACAUUGAGCCUUGAUGUGUAGGAUAGGUGGGAGGCUUUGAAGUGUGGACGCCAGUCUGCAUGGAGCCGACCUUGAAAUACCACCCUUUAAUGUUUGAUGUUCUAACGUGGACCCGUAAUCCGGGUUGCGGACAGUGUCUGGUGGGUAGUUUGACUGGGGCGGUCUCCUCCUAAAGAGUAACGGAGGAGCACGAAGGUUGGCUAAUCCUGGUCGGACAUCAGGAGGUUAGUGCAAUGGCAUAAGCCAGCUUGACUGCGAGCGUGACGGCGCGAGCAGGUGCGAAAGCAGGUCAUAGUGAUCCGGUGGUUCUGAAUGGAAGGGCCAUCGCUCAACGGAUAAAAGGUACUCCGGGGAUAACAGGCUGAUACCGCCCAAGAGUUCAUAUCGACGGCGGUGUUUGGCACCUCGAUGUCGGCUCAUCACAUCCUGGGGCUGAAGUAGGUCCCAAGGGUAUGGCUGUUCGCCAUUUAAAGUGGUACGCGAGCUGGGUUUAGAACGUCGUGAGACAGUUCGGUCCCUAUCUGCCGUGGGCGCUGGAGAACUGAGGGGGGCUGCUCCUAGUACGAGAGGACCGGAGUGGACGCAUCACUGGUGUUCGGGUUGUCAUGCCAAUGGCACUGCCCGGUAGCUAAAUGCGGAAGAGAUAAGUGCUGAAAGCAUCUAAGCACGAAACUUGCCCCGAGAUGAGUUCU
RNAcentral lists this ribosomal RNA (2319 nucleotides) under Salmonella enterica subsp. enterica serovar Typhimurium str. CDC_2009K1153. RNAcentral's name for it is "bacterial LSU rRNA". It matches the Rfam family "Bacterial large subunit ribosomal RNA", at positions 594 to 2812 of the family's 2925-position model. Lineage: Bacteria; Pseudomonadati; Pseudomonadota; Gammaproteobacteria; Enterobacterales; Enterobacteriaceae. The record is from RNAcentral.